GGAAAAUACACAAGUAAACAAAGUAUGGCGGCGGCAGAAGUUUCAGUGAAACGUGUGUACUCGAAGACCAUAAAACAUCGAUCACACAAGAAAUAAGGAUCACAGAAAAGAGAAAUGGACACUAAGCUCUUGGCAAGUAAAAAUAUCAAAGGUUUACUUCCUGCCAGUUUCCACUUAAGCACUGGACCAAUACCGUUAUCUUCCAUCUGGAGACAUUGUAGACUUGAUGAGUUGUACUUUGACAUCCAUUGUGUCCCUUCAGUAUCUACGGAGGAGCACGAAACUCGUGAGGUAGAUCUGGAUUCUUGAAGACCACGACGCCUCCGUCGACUUUUACGUCCUGCCAUAGUGAUUUAUUUUUAUUUGAUGCUUACUUAAUAAAAUUUUUGUUUCUCAAACACAGACAAAGCGUUGUUAUGAUUCGAUCACAGGACCCGUAAACUUAAACGGAUCAUUCGAUCACAGGACCCGUAAACUUAAA
Molecule: long non-coding RNA, 481 nt
Organism: Saccostrea cuccullata (small rock oyster)
Lineage: Eukaryota; Metazoa; Mollusca; Bivalvia; Ostreida; Ostreidae
Exons: 4
Source: RefSeq, a predicted model, not a curated record